RNAcentral lists this long non-coding RNA (258 nucleotides) under Chinchilla lanigera (long-tailed chinchilla). Its description in RNAcentral is "lncRNA (ENSCLAG00000027067.1)". The record is from RNAcentral. Lineage: Eukaryota; Metazoa; Chordata; Mammalia; Rodentia; Chinchillidae.
CACCUCUGCUAGUCUCCGCCCUAACUCACCCUCACCGCCAGGGCCCAGCCUCUUCUCCUCACCCUGUUAAACUGGUAUAGAAGCCCCAGGUUCUAAUUCCCUGCUUCGGUCGCGUUUUUUGUGAACUGCUGCGCAUGGAUCGUGUUCGCAGUACUACAGAAAGCAAGAAACCUUGAUUUACAGCGAGAGGAGCAGCAAUUAGAGAGAAUUAAUUCAUAAAGCAACAUCUAAAUAAAUCAUAUUAUGAGAAGACAGCAA